UACAGAGGGUGCAAACGUUGCUCGGAAUCAUUGGGCGUAAAGCGCAUGUAGGCGGCCCAGCAAGUGGGGCGUGAAAUCCCACGGCUCAACCGUGGAACUGCUCGGUAUACUGGGUAUCUUGAGCCACUUAGGGGCGACCGGAACAAAUGGUGGAGCGGUGAAAUGCGCAGAUAUCAUUUGGAACGCCAAUGGUGAAAACAGGUCGCUGGGAGUGUGCUGACGCUGAGACACGAAAGCCAUGGGAGCAAACGGG
Molecule: ribosomal RNA, 253 nt
Filed under: uncultured bacterium
Lineage: Bacteria
Description: partial 16S ribosomal RNA
Rfam family: Bacterial small subunit ribosomal RNA
Source: RNAcentral